RNAcentral lists this microRNA (22 nucleotides) under Blattella germanica (German cockroach). Its description in RNAcentral is "Bge-Novel-4_5p* (star (passenger))". Lineage: Eukaryota; Metazoa; Arthropoda; Insecta; Blattodea; Blattellidae. The record is from RNAcentral.
AGGGCAAUGAUAUGGACGAGGU